This 420-nucleotide ribosomal RNA is filed under the name Triticum aestivum (bread wheat). Its description in RNAcentral is "partial small subunit ribosomal RNA". Lineage: Eukaryota; Viridiplantae; Streptophyta; Magnoliopsida; Poales; Poaceae. The record is from RNAcentral.
AUGUCGUCGCUCGCCGUCGGCCGCGGGCUGGACCUGGACUUGGAGUUGGGGAUCUGGCUCGCGGGUCUCUUCUCUGGGCCGGAGCUUGCGGCGGCGGAGCUGCUGCUGCAGCUCAGCGUUCUCGGAGAGGCGGAGGCGAAGGCGGAGCCCACCAAGUCCUCGCGGUGUUCGGCGGGCUCGCGCUUCGAGGGCCUCUCCGUCGAGGCAGAGGAGCGGGUCGUCCAGGAGAUUCCAGCGUCGGCGUCCACGGAGCUGGACAGGCGGGCGAGGAAGAGGCACCGCCUGCUGUCGGAGCUCUACGCCGACACCAUCCCCGCGAAAUCCGAUGCCGCCGCGAAGAAGAAGAGGAGGAAGACGCAUCACGACCACGGCGGGCCGUCAUCGGAGUCGAAGGAGACGAGGUACGGCGGAGACUACUAG